RNAcentral lists this transfer RNA (75 nucleotides) under Candidatus Omnitrophota bacterium. RNAcentral describes it as "Candidatus Omnitrophica bacterium (sediment metagenome) tRNA-Met". It matches the Rfam family "tRNA". From Rfam's summary of the family: Transfer RNA (tRNA) molecules are approximately 80 nucleotides in length. Lineage: Bacteria; Pseudomonadati; Candidatus Omnitrophota. The record is from RNAcentral.
GCCGAGGUAGCUCAGUUGGUUCAGAGCAUACGGUUCAUACCCGUACGGUCGAGAGUUCGAGUCUCUCCCUCGGCA